Long non-coding RNA from Zingiber officinale, 1659 nucleotides. RefSeq lists it as uncharacterized. The record is from RefSeq and is a predicted model, not a curated record. NCBI's taxonomy places the organism in Eukaryota, Viridiplantae, Streptophyta, Magnoliopsida, Zingiberales, Zingiberaceae. The transcript has 9 exons.
AGUGUUUUCUUUCCUUCGGCCUCGAAAUUUUUAUGCCAACCCUAAAAAGCCUUCCCUUCCUGAACUCGUGUCCUUCGAACCCCUCUCCGACAAACCCCUCUCCUCAAAUCUCUCCUUUGAACUCCUCUUCGUCCAACCCCUCUAUGAUGAAACCCUCUCUAUGAAUCUCUCCUCUGAACACCUUCAAAUAAUAGCUUGUUUUUUAGGAUCAGUCAUGCCUUGCCUUGAAAGCCUUCACUACCACCCGAAGCAAGCAGUGGUACCAUGUCGAUCUCAACCUCUACACAGAGAUGGUCUCCACGUUGUCUAGGUGCGGAUCGCUGCACAAGAUCGAUACCCUAGUCGCUAAUCUAAUGGAGGAGGGAUGGCUCUCCGCGGAGACCGCCAAGGGGGUUCCCCAGCUCGUUAGGGCUUUGAUGGCCGAUCGCCAACGCCAUGGUGGAGAUACGGACUCAUCCUCUCUCAUCUGGCGCGCCCACCCCAGCGGAGGAGCUCCCAACGGCGAACACUCCCAGAGCAGCUGCGAAGCAUCCAUACCUAAAGCUGCGAUUCCUGGUGAUUUUCUCUGACAUGAUUUUCAGCAGUUUUCAAUCUGAGGAGAUUACUGAGGAAUCUCCAGAAAGGGCCAUCUUGAAGAUCCUAGACGAGUUCCUAGCAAAGAUAAAAUCAAAUGACACUAGACUUACAAUGAAAGAAUUAGAAGUGACAUUGAAGAAUUUCAAGGAUUUAAAGAAAAUCCUCCUAGAGAAGAUCGAGGAGAUCGAGAGAGGUAAUAUUGGUCGAAGGGGUGGAUAUUCGAAGAAGAUAGCACUUACUGUCAUUUGCGUUUUUAUAUUUUCCAUUAAAUGUCUCAUUUCAUUCUAGACCAACCUUGUAAGCAUAUGAAUAUUGGUCAAUAUUUGAUGCAAAUGUUUUGAGUUUGAAGGAAUUCACUGAUCCAACGCCUAAAGAAGGAACAUCCAUUUUGAAGGCAAUAUCUUCUGCUAUGGUAUUGCUCAAAGACAGGAUUUAGCUAAUAGUCUUUGCCUCAGUUUUCUUAAAGGAGUUAUUUAUCCUUGGUAGUGAACCAAGAUGAGAAGUCUCGAAGGAAGAAGCUUGAACAACCAAAAAAGAAACAUACUUUGUCAACAAGUGUCCCAAGAGCAUUACAUAUGUUAUAUUGUUAUAGUUUGAUGCUGUUAAACAAUCUUCCUCAGUAUCUUAAAUGGCACUUUAUCCUAAUCAACAGGAUUAAUGCACUAUUGCAGGUCAAAUUAGCACAAGUGAGAAGAGAUCAAAAUAUCUCAACUACAACUGUGCUCACAGGAUUUGGGUCUGGGCUUCUCAGAGAUGAGUUGUAUUGGAGAUGGACUAACAGUGGUAAUAGUUGUAUGUUCACAGUGAAAUCUCCAUUAGAUCUGGAAGGUACAAAUUUUUGGACCUCUUUUGCCCCAAAGAAGGUACAAAUUUCAAUCGGCUGCUGGCCUGCUGCUCAUUGGUGUGUUCCUGCUGGUUGGAGGCAGUGUUGACGGAGUUGAUAUUUUGUGCUUUUUUGUUUAAUUUGUGAAUAUUACUAUCUACUUUAAAACAGAAUUAGUGUUAAUUUUGAUAUUUACUAGUUUCUCAUGUAAUUAAAUAUUAAUAUUACUUCAAUGUUAGAAUUCUAUUAUUUUGGUAUGA